ACACAUGCAAGUCGAGGGGCAGCAUGGUCUUAGCUUGCUAAGGCCGAUGGCGACCGGCGCACGGGUGAGUAACACGUAUCCAACCUGCCGUCUACUCUUGGACAGCCUUCUGAAAGGAAGAUUAAUACAAGAUGGCAUCAUGAGUCCGCAUGUUCACAUGAUUAAAGGUAUUCCGGUAGACGAUGGGGAUGCGUUCCAUUAGAUAGUAGGCGGGGUAACGGCCCACCUAGUCUUCGAUGGAUAGGGGUUCUGAGAGGAAGGUCCCCCACAUUGGAACUGAGACACGGUCCAAACUCCUACGGGAGGCAGCAGUGAGGAAUAUUGGUCAAUGGGCGAGAGCCUGAACCAGCCAAGUAGCGUGAAGGAUGACUGCCCUAUGGGUUGUAAACUUCUUUUAUAAAGGAAUAAAGUCGGGUAUGCAUACCCGUUUGCAUGUACUUUAUGAAUAAGGAUCGGCUAACUCCGUGCCAGCAGCCGCGGUAAUACGGAGGAUCCGAGCGUUAUCCGGAUUUAUUGGGUUUAAAGGGAGCGUAGAUGGAUGUUUAAGUCAGUUGUGAAAG
RNAcentral lists this ribosomal RNA (560 nucleotides) under uncultured bacterium. RNAcentral's name for it is "bacterial SSU rRNA". It matches the Rfam family "Bacterial small subunit ribosomal RNA", at positions 51 to 600 of the family's 1533-position model. The record is from RNAcentral.